CCCACCCUUUGCCUAUGUGUACCCUUCAUAGCUUCCUCGGCGGGCUCGCCCGCCGCCAGGAACCCACGAAACCCCUUGCAUCCUACAUGAAAACUUCCGAUUACCAACCUAAAUUAUCACAACUUUCAACAAUGGAUCUCUUGGUUCUGGCAUCGAUGAAGAACGCAGCGAAAUGCGAUAAGUAGUGUGAAUUGCAGAAUUCAGUGAAUCAUCGAAUCUUUGAACGCACAUUGCGGCCAUAGGUAUUCCUUUGGCCAUGCCUGUUCGAGCGUCAUUUACACCCUCAAGCCUAGCUUGGUGUUGGGCGUCUUGUCCCGCCGUUUCUCGCGCGCGGACUCGCCUCAAAGUCAUUGGCGGCGGUCGUGCCGGCCCCUCGCGCAGCACAUUUGCGCUUCUCGGAGGCCUGGCGGAUCCGCGCUCCAGCAAGACCUUUUUUCAUGACUUGACCUCGGAUCAGGUAGGGAUACCCGCUGAACUUAAGCAUAUCAAU
This 490-nucleotide ribosomal RNA is filed under the name Periconia macrospinosa. RNAcentral's name for it is "eukaryotic LSU rRNA". The stretch from base 121 to 274 matches the Rfam family "5.8S ribosomal RNA". The record is from RNAcentral. Lineage: Eukaryota; Fungi; Ascomycota; Dothideomycetes; Pleosporales; Periconiaceae.